Molecule: ribosomal RNA, 220 nt
Filed under: uncultured prokaryote
Description: partial 16S ribosomal RNA
Rfam family: Bacterial small subunit ribosomal RNA
Source: RNAcentral
UACGUACCGUCCAAACGUUAUUCGGAAUUACUGGGCGUAAAGGGCGCGUAGGCGGCCUGCUAAGUCGAACGUGAAAUCCCUGGGCUCAACCCAGGAACUGCGUCCGAUACUGGUUGGCUUGAAUCCGGGAGAGGGACGUGGAAUUCCAGGUGUAGCGGUGAAAUGCGUAGAGAUCGGGAGGAAGGCCGGUGGCGAAGGCGGCGCUCUGGAACGGCCCUGA